AACGCGAAGAACCUUACCAAGGUUUGACAUGGCCGGAAAACUCGCAGAGAUGCGGGGUCCUUCGGGGCCGGUCACAGGUGGUGCAUGGCUGUCGUCAGCUCGUGUCGUGAGAUGUUGGGUUAAGUCCCGCAACGAGCGCAACCCUCGUCCUAUGUUGCCAGCAGGUAAAGCUGGGGACUCAUGGGAGACUGCCGGGGUCAACUCGGAGGAAGGUGGGGAUGACGUCAAGUCAUCAUGCCCCUUAUGUCUUGGGCUGCAAACAUGCUACAAUGGCCGGUACAAAGCGCUGCGACAUCGUGAGAUGAAGCGAAUCGCAUAAAGCCGGUCUCAGUUCGGAUCGGGGUCUGCAACCCGGCCCCGUGAAGCCGGAGUCGCUAGUAAUCGCGGAUCAGCAACGCCGCGGUGAAUACGUUCCCGGGCCUUGUA
Molecule: ribosomal RNA, 426 nt
Filed under: uncultured Actinomycetes bacterium
Lineage: Bacteria; Bacillati; Actinomycetota; Actinomycetes
Description: bacterial SSU rRNA
Rfam family: Bacterial small subunit ribosomal RNA
Source: RNAcentral